AAAAAUGCAUGUAACUGAAGGUUGCUAGCAUUUCUUUCUUGUCUUCCCUCAAGGUGCUAUUAGAGGUCUUUCGCAGACUUCUUUCGAAGUAAUACUGUCUAAGAAGAAGCUUAUGAAAAGCAUGGAGCAACAAUGUGAUGCGGAAAACUUUAUGCAUGAGGAGUGAAUGGGUAAGCUUCAUGACCAUGUUCUUCAACAAGCUCAACAGCAUUUGAAUUCAGAGUCUUCCCAUCAGGAUCAAGAACAACAAGCAUCGGCAGUGUCUCGAGCUCAAAGUAGUGGGGUAAAAUUUCCAAGGCCUUGUCCUUGAAGGGGAUAGCAAGCCAAGGCAUGCUCGCAAAGCUUUUCAUACACCUUCACUAGCAAUGGCGUGAACUCACUGCUACCAGGGAAAGAGCUUGCUGAGAAGUAGAUACCUACAACUUUCCCCUCAAGCUCUGACACAGAUAAAAAGUGAAAAGAUCGGAACCUGAUCCCCAUUGUGGCGGAUGAGGAAGUCUCUGGACUUGCCGGAGAGGAUCGAGACGAGAUCAUGGCUUUCCGACGCCGUUGAACGUCGUUUCAACACCCACCAUUGAAGAAGAAAGAGGGAUUCAGUGAUGCUUCUUUUUGGCUUUCAGGUAUUCUAUUUAUACUGUGAUUUCUCAGACCAAGCUAAUAAAUUAAUAAAAUAAGAUAAAAUAAAAUAAAAUAAAAAGUUUAUGUUGACGUGGACUUGAAAUAUUAAAAGACUAGAAUAAGAUCAAUAGCAUGCAACUAUCAAGGGAAGAACUUCACACGUGAGGUCUUUUUAGUUUUUACUAUCAGGGAUUAGAUUAGGUUCUAUUUUUAAUCUAUUUUUUAUUUUAUUAUGUAUCAGUUGUUUUUUGU
Molecule: long non-coding RNA, 870 nt
Organism: Dioscorea cayenensis subsp. rotundata (Guinea yam)
Lineage: Eukaryota; Viridiplantae; Streptophyta; Magnoliopsida; Dioscoreales; Dioscoreaceae
Exons: 4
Source: RefSeq, a predicted model, not a curated record